This 26-nucleotide unclassified non-coding RNA is filed under the name Mus musculus (house mouse). Its description in RNAcentral is "oocyte_clustered_small_RNA12402". The record is from RNAcentral. Lineage: Eukaryota; Metazoa; Chordata; Mammalia; Rodentia; Muridae.
UGCAGAUGACUGCCAGUGAGCGCAGG